CCCCCUCCCCCACAACGCCUGCACCGGGCCCGGCGAGCCCUAAAUCAGUCGCCUCCAAAGCGCCCACAAACUACAAACGCAAAGUCCGCUGCAAAGUGUCUGCAGGAGGACUUAGCUUUUCUCCUCCAGCACCUAAGCCCCCUGCUGGUGUGGAGGUCGCGCAAUCCUUUGUCCUGCAAACCGAGUGCUCACCCGGUUUGAACCCUUCCCUCCCUGGAUUCCUGCCCUACGCCCCCCCCAACUCGUGCUUUUCUGGGAGCACCGAAGAGUGUGGUCCUGGGGUCACGACCCGCAGGACUUCUAGGUCCUGGCGGGGCCGGCAAGCGGCCGCUGGAGCGGUGGCAGCCCGUUUGGCACCACGAGAAACCCGUCCUGUCCGGCACCCUGAGACCCGGGUGGCUCCGGGGAGACCCUCCUGCCUCUGCCUCCUCCCCGCUGACACCCCUAAAAGUCGUCCCCGCUCGGGGUGCCGGGAAGGAGGCGGGUUCUGCCCAGAAAACACUCUGCCGCGUCCCGUGACCAGCUCUGGCCCCACUUGAAGGAUCACGAGACAGACAGACGUGGACGCUUCCCUGCGGGGAACUUCAUCCCGAACCGCUGCGGGGCGGGCUCACGCGGCCUGGAAUCUGCCGACCUCUGAAAAGUUGGAAAAGCAUUUUUCGUCCUGAUUUAGAGCACAUUGCUACGUUUUGGAAAAUGCCAAAUUAAAAACAUCAGGUCUCAAAGGUCUGUCCAGGGCGGGUGUCUUUCCUCUGGCAGCCUCGGGCUGGAGCUCACACAUGCAGGCGGGACCGAGCAUGAGCGGGGACCCGGCUUCCAAAGCACCCCGCAAAAACAUGCAGGGCGGGCUUGUCCUCACAGGACCUGACGGAUCUCUACGCCGGUCAGAAAGGCCUGGAGCUCUCCGGCCCGUCAGAGUCACUCGGAGUGUGAAUCACAUUUUGUCACGACAGUGUUGGGGGCUUCUUCUGUAGAUCAGAAUUACUGGGUUCUAGUUUAUUUUUCUGCCCACAUAAUGAGAGGGGAAGGGGAGGAGGCACUCCGGGGAGAGGGGGACAGAAGAGGGACUUCCCCUGGGACGGGCUGCUUCCUGUUUAAACACCGCUGGACACAGCCGGGCGUGCAGCUGAGCGCCUGCGAUCCAGCCCUCGGGAGGCUGAGGCCGGAGGACCUCUGUGAGCCCGCCAAGAGUCCAAAGUGAGCUCAAGGCAGCCUGGACUGCAUUCAGGACUCUGCCUCUAAAACACAAUCGAUCAGUUAGUCAAUCAACAAUCAGGAAAUGCCCCUGCUGCCAGAAGGUGCUGACCACGAGGCUUGCAGAGCGCAGGGAACCAGGUGGGCAGAGGAUUUCACAGAUGGGGCGCCC
Molecule: long non-coding RNA, 1366 nt
Filed under: Cavia porcellus (domestic guinea pig)
Lineage: Eukaryota; Metazoa; Chordata; Mammalia; Rodentia; Caviidae
Description: lncRNA (ENSCPOG00000032669.1)
Source: RNAcentral